RNAcentral lists this long non-coding RNA (1464 nucleotides) under Capra hircus (goat). RNAcentral describes it as "lncRNA (ENSCHIG00010021486.1)". The record is from RNAcentral. Lineage: Eukaryota; Metazoa; Chordata; Mammalia; Artiodactyla; Bovidae.
UUGAACUUGAGAUACUUACAGGUAGGUGUCUGUUUACUGCUGACUAAAGGCUACUAUUCUCAGCUCCUGAAUCAGAUAAUAAACAUUACCAAAAUGACUUUUUUUAAAAAUACCUUUUAGUCAGCAAGAACCGAUUCAAAUCUGUUUGGCUUUACUCUUAGGUACGUUUUCUUUCUGUUGGAAGGACUAAGAUCAUUCUUGGGCUGCCAGCUUCAUGGAGGAAAAAGAGUUAUGGAUAAAGAGAAAUAUGAGAAGAGUGAGACUUUGUCCAAGAUCACCCAAUGAGGGGGAUUUAAACAGAGGGGAUCUGAUCCACGAGGCUCAUGAAUGCAGAGUCCCUGAAGCCUCUCAGUAGCAUCCUGCUGCUCGCUUGUCAGAGAUCAAGAGUUCACGUGGAUUUCCACUUGAGUCUCCGAGGUUCUGAGAUACAACCCUUCGGAGAGGUCUAAGCGAGGUGACUCCAUCUUGGUUUUGCAUCAUUCAAAGAGAAGAAAAGGGACUCACAGCAUGGCAGCAGGACCUUACCGUCUUGCCAAGCUGUAGAUGUGACUACUACUCUAUUGAUUUGAAAUUGUUGACAUAUUUUCUUCUCUUUGGUGAAUAGCUGUUGCCCUAAACCUUUGAGGGUCCCGCCCUGAUCCCGGGCCCAGUCCUCUCAAAUAUUUUAAAACAUUUUGAAUUUUUUGAAUAUAUUGCUCCGGCUAGUGUGUUUAAUUAUUUUAGCAAAUGACCAAGUUCUAAUAAAAAUAAAUUCAAUGAGCUUUGCAGAUCACACCAAGGUGAGUGAAAUAUUAAGACAAACUUGCCAGUCACAUAGGGUAAAUGGCUAGUAACUAACGGGUAUUGGUUUCAGAGGAGUGGGGUAGAAAUAUGGCAGUAAAUUCUCCGCACUUUGACUCUGAUGAUGAUCAUUGCCACUCCUCAUCUGUGCUCCAAAGGGCAAGGUGAGUGGAAAGAUGAGAAAGAGGAGAGUGCCUGGCUACACAGAGUAGUGUUCAAUACGUAUCUGUGACUGAAUACCGGACUACAUGACAAGUAGAAGAACCACCUCAGGAUAUUUGCUUUUAGGAGGGUUAAAUGAGAUAAUUAAUCGAUUAUCAUGCGACAAAUGUGAAGCAAUAGCUCCAUGUCAGAACUAAAAUCAAACUGUAAUUUUGGUGAUUCUGGACGCAAGGGAAAAGUUUUUAUAAUUUGCAUUUAUAACUUGCAAUGCACAUAGAGAAGAGACUUGCAGAGAUAGUGGGGGAAAGAGAGGGAGGGACGAAUUGAAAGGGUAACAUUGAAACAUAGACAUUACUAAAUGUAAAAUGGAUAGCCAGUGGUUUGUGAGUACCACUCCACUGAUUUGAAAUUGUUGACAUAUUUUCUUGGCUGCACCAAUUUACAUUCCAACCAGCACUGUACAAGGAUUCUUUUUCUCCACAUCCUUGCCAAUAUUUCUUACUUGUGGUCAUUUUAAUAGCC